GUGUGGGUGUGUAAGCGUGUGUUUCCCACAGGUUCGACACAGUCUGAUUAAAACCCCGUUGGAUUCGCUGGAAACGUGCUUCUGAUGAUACGAUGGCGGUGAAAAAUGAGCGCUGCGUAAUCAAGUCCGGGACGGUGGCACCAUCGUUUGCAGUCGAGUUGCGGCUCUGCCACCUUUAACCUUUGUUCAGCUUCGCCACACUGUGGGCUUUACAGAGUGGAGCAAUCGCAGGAAUUUGCCGCAGUUUGUUUAUUCUGAGGAGGGUGGCGCAAUAAGGUAGUUAUGGGAUUUUGACUGCUAUUUUUAUCUAUUUUUUAAAAAUAAAAAUAAAUCUUUUAAGUAGGUUUGAAGAAAUGACAACUUACAGCAGCAGAGUCCAAACUUUUUGUCACGUGGGACAAAAUCAUGAUGUCAAAAUUAUGCGCAAGCCAAGAGAAUAAUAACAAUAAACUAAAAUCAAAGAAAUCGUAUUGAUAUUUUCUGACAGCAGCUGGUCUCAAGAUUUAUCCAUCACCCAAGUGGGGAGGGAGAGAGUCGGAGCCGACUCUGAUGAGAAGCAGCCAGACUUCGGACCAUGUUAUCCUACCGAAGCGGUGGUCUGCUGCUGGAAGUCCACAGACUCCAAUGUGAGCUUGAGAGCCGAAUGUUCCCAGUUUGUCCUUCCAGUUUAAAGUCAGACUGAUAAAAUCUUUCCUUUAGACUUCUAAGAAGCCUAUGAGUAAUUUAUUAAAAACUUCCCCUCUAUCAGUAAUCAGGUUUCGUGUCAUUAUUUUGUUUUUUUCGGUUUCAUUUGUUAAGUGUGUCAUUAGUUCUGAUCCAAAAGAAAAAUGUGGAUGUUUGUUUUAGUAAGGAACCAUCAAUAAUCCUUUAUUUUUUAAAUUAAAACAUUAACCAGUCUUUAUAUCGAUUCUAAAUAAACCAUAAAUCCUGAGAAACUUAUAGAAAUGUCUUCCACUCAUCUUCCAUUAUGUAGCAUAGAGCGCCCCCUGGAAAGGAACUGAGCAUUUUCUUCAUCCAUCCAGAUUUUUCUUUACCUAACUUAUAAGAAAAUCGUCAUUAAUAAAGCUUAAAAGCAAAUAUUCAUUUUUUUAAAAAAAGAGAGAG
Molecule: long non-coding RNA, 1104 nt
Organism: Xiphophorus couchianus (Monterrey platyfish)
Lineage: Eukaryota; Metazoa; Chordata; Actinopteri; Cyprinodontiformes; Poeciliidae
Exons: 2
Source: RefSeq, a predicted model, not a curated record